Molecule: long non-coding RNA, 10748 nt
Organism: Mus musculus (house mouse)
Lineage: Eukaryota; Metazoa; Chordata; Mammalia; Rodentia; Muridae
Product: predicted gene, 32604
Exons: 3
Source: RefSeq, a predicted model, not a curated record
UCUGUGAAUGCAAAACAAAAAACAAAACAAAAAACAAAAAAAAAACCCAGACAUUUAGAAGGGGUGAGCCAGUGACAUGGAAGGAGGGGGCCCCUGGAACCACAAAUGAUAGCAGCCAAAGCGCCACCAUAUUCCUGAUGCCCACAGGGUGCCUACAAGGAGUGACGUCAGAGACUGAAGGUUCACUGUUACACUCUGGUCCUGUUGACCCAGGAGGAGGGGUGAGGUCUCCAGCCUGUGGUGCCUUUCUCAUCUAUUGUCUGUGACGAUUUUGUAAUAGCAAAAGCUACCACUGAGCUAGCACUUAACUGCAGGGCUGGGAUGAUUCAGACCGUAGCACAUGUCAUUUGCACAGUAAUCCUACAAGCAGGCUUUAUCGUUCUUGUUGUGCAAUUAGAAGAGAGAGCUGGGGAGAGCGCCUAGCGAAUAGAUCACAUGCAUGAGGCCCGCGAACUUCGGAUCAUCAGCACCCAUGUAAAAGGGGGGAGGGGGAUGGAUGUCUAGGACAAGCUAGAUAUCUAGGAUGGCUAGCUAGACCAUUCUGAAUCCAUGAGCUCUGGGUUCAGCAAGGGUUCCUGUCUCAGCAAGUAAAGUGGAGAGUGAGUGAGGAAGACAUCUGAUGCCAGUCUUGUGGCUACACACACAUGGCCAAGUGUGUACCCAUGUACCACGUAUACCCACACAUGCGUGCACGCCACAUAACACAUGCAAAAAGAAAAAUUCUAAGAAGUAGGAGAUAAACUUUGAGUACUGCAGUGACGCACAUGGCCAAGGUUAAGCAAGAAGGGCCAAGGGAGAUUGACUUCACGCUAACACGGGACUGUCUUACCCGCCUCUGGGAACCGAGAGACUACAGUGAAAUACUAACAAGCAAGCACUCUGCUAGAGAACAUCUGGGAAAUGGUUUCAAACUCACUAUAUACAUGAGACUGGCUUCAAACUCUGUCUGCUUCAUCUCUCCAGCCCUCAGCUUGUCUCCCUUCAGGAAGUGCGCGUGUUCUCUGGGGCGACCAACCAACAAAACACCUCCCAUUCACAGCUAGCACAGAGCACCUUACCUAACACUCGGGGCUCAGAACAAUCUUUCCAAUGUUGGGGCCUCUCCUUCUCUUGGCCUACAUAAGAGAUUGUGAUCAGCCAUAGGACACCGUAUGAAGGAUAAAGACUCCAACCUGGGCCUCCAGCAAUCUGCACAAACUACGCAGCCAAGGUCCAAAUUUCUAAGAUGAAUGCUUGACUCCAAGCAGCUGUUUGAUCUUGGGUGCGCUAUUUAACCCCCAUGUGCCUGAGACUCAGUAUCUCUGUCUCUAGAAUGGGUCCAUCCCUGACCACAAGGCCAGAUGCCUUAGGAGUUAACAAAUGUUCGCUGCCUAGCCCUGAGUCACACACAGCAUGCCCCAUACACGUGAGCUUCCCUCCUGGCCUUACCAUCUGGGGUAAGAGCUGUGCCUGUGAGGGGAGUGGGAAGAGGCCGCCCAGAGGAGCAGCUGGCAGUUGGUGGGCGGUGGGAGGUGUGAUGUGAAUGUUGGCGGUUUUAUGUCAGUUUGUCUACACAAUCCCUAAAUUUUCCCGCAGCUAAGAGCCCGGAGCAGGAAUGCGGGAGCCUGCCAAGGGGGACUCAGUGUGGGCAAGGGCAAGGGCCUGAUGCAGCGACUUGGCAGGGCUGUGGGAGCCUCAGCAGCUGAGUACCAUGCAGCAGCCCCGUGUUAACUGUGCUCUCAAGACUGCCUCAUCCCGUUUCUUAGCAACCACCCUAUUUGGAGGAAUGUGGAGGGCUUCAGGGACACCGGCUCAGAACCAUGUGCAAGACAGGAAGCACCCCCAAAUAACGCCUCCGACCCCUUCGCACUCCCACGGCCUGCCACCUUAUGCUGGUUGCCAUCUCCUGGGACAAGGUGGACAGCUUAGAAGCCCUCCACCGGGAAGGAGUUCAGCUACCAAGCAGGUCUCCAGGUAGCUUCCAGGGCCAAGUUCGUGCAGGGAAGUCCUGGUUACACCCUUGGCCUCUGGACAAAAGCCCUGGUGCCAUCUGUUGUCCUCUAACACUCUGAGCGGCUGACGUGGUACAAAGAGACACCCAGCAGAGGGCUCGGGCUCUGCAUACACAGGCUUAGGGCCAGGCAGAAGCACUGUGACAACAGCUCAGCUGGGCGUUCGAAGAAGUUCCAGGGUAGGAGCACCUGCUGGACGCAUCCGGUCUCCACUCUGAAGAUAGAUCAUUUUAUCUUCUCAAAAAAUUAUUGGGGGACAUUAAAGGAUCCUACCGGAGCCAAGGCUUUUCAGCCCAGACAGCUGACUUCAGAUACACGUUAUUAAUACUAACAUUUUCUCAGCGUGAUUGCAUACCCCAUUUAAAACAAAUUACCCAAUUAAGCUAAGAAGGUGAUGGGUUCGACUUCCUGGGAUUUGGAGCCGGUGACUCUGUCUCGACUGCUCUCCCCUAAUUUCCCUCCAAUUAGGUAAAGAUCCCGAGGUACCCCUGCGAGGAUCAGCUGAGAGGUUGCUGUGGAGACGGAAGGGAAGGACGUUCAUCCCACUGCCAGUUUCAUCUGCGGCUGAGAAGGGAGCUGGCAAAGUUUCCAGCCUCCUCCUGGGAAGAACGCUCGUUGCCAACAGCAGAGACAAUAGGUCUGUUAGAUGGAAAAGGGUAAGGAUUAAGUAAGCUUCCGGGUCUCCGUCUGUAGCAGCCCAGGUCGAUGUCGUCAGCUUCCCAUGAGCAGCUGCACCUGCAAGAUUGCCAGGCAGUAACACUUUCCUUCCCUGUCCCCGGGGUUGCUGGAGGGGGAGGGGCGCUGCAGGCCCUGGUUCUGAUGUCAUGGCGCGGCCAGUCAGCUCAGUGUGGACCACGCUUUCUCAGUAACUGGCCAAAAGGAUCAGAGUGGUGGCGUCGGAGCAUGAAGCCACCAAUGCCAAAAAGCAUGGGGGGCGGGGGGGAUGUGCGGUUUUUAUCAUCCAAACAUUCAAAUCUAACCAUGGCUCUUUCUUGCUUUCCACACUUUGCUGGCUCUCUCGAGAAAGUGCCAAUUUCGAGACGAGAUGCUGCCCCACGCUUCUCUCCCAAACUCAACCUCUUUCCCUAAAUAAAUAUUCUGCACUUGGAAAGGUCAAACGCUCACACCUCCCAUCUGCCCACACUGCUGUUCGCCACUUGGCGUUCCUUCCUAAGGGCUCCCAGCCUGGCACCAGCUGAACUCAGGUUCAGCCCAGGAGCUCCUGAUCAACAAGUAUCUUGACCCCCAGAAAUCUUCUCUCUGUCUCUACCCCCCUUCCUCCCUCCUCUGGAAGGCCGGGCACCCCAUCACUGCUAGCACGUUCUAUAAUUUGAAGCAUGGGAAUGAUUUACAUGUCUGUCCCCAGGCCCAGAGUUGCCAAACCAUGCAAGGAGUGGGAGAGACAUUUUCAAAGAAAUGGCUGAGGGACUUGAGGGCAUGGGGACAGAGAUGACAGAAAAGGAUCUUGUCCGUGCCAAGCUAUGAACACCCAAGAGCUGUUAAGUCGUGAAGGGGUGGAGCUGGAGAGGUGGCUCGGUGCUUAAGAGUACUGACUGAGUUUUUCUAAAGGAAUGGGAUUAAUUCCCAGCACCUACAUGGCACUCCAAAACCAUCUGUAACUCCAGUCCCAGGGACUAAUGCCCUCUUCUGGGUCCAGGUAUACAGACAUACACGCACGUCAAACAUCCAUGGGGGUAGGGGGACAGCUACGUUGACUGUUCACCAGUCUCUUCCUCCUUCCUUGAUUUCAAAACCAAGCAUACCCAGUAUCGUGAAGGAAUAAAAAGUCAGCUUACUAACAAAAUCUCCGAAAGACAUCCUUCGGAUUACAUCAUCAAGUCUACCUUUCUGGUGUGAUGGUUUAAAACUAAUUGGGGGUGGGGGGAGCCUACUAAACCCUUCAACUCAUCAGAGCUGAGCUGACGGUCGUUCAGAGUCAUCCACACCAGAGAAAGCAAGCUAUCCCUGGAAGGUGAGUACCACCCAGAGCCCUGGUCCCUCUCCUACCUCUGCCUUCCACUGCCCAAGACUCAGUGGUCUCUCAAUGCCUGAGAGUUUCUGGCCAGGGGCCUCUCAGCCCUCACCCAUCUACCCUAUCUCCCAGAAGUAAAGCACACUGCUCUCUGGACUGGGUGCCCCCCCCGCCCCCCGCCUGGAAUGCUACUGAGGUCUGUCCAGUAGCCUCUUCAAAAGCACUGGGUGGGCUUUUGUUGGAGCUCAUCGUUGCAAUCCCUGACGCCCCCACCCCACCCCAGAUUUUCCAUUGAUAAUGCAUGUGACCAUGAGGGAAUCCAGAGAUGUGCAGGCAGACGCUGUGGCCACUCCAGAAUUGGAGCCCUCAGGCACAGUUUUCCUCUCAGCCUCAGUCACCUCUUAAAGCCCUUGGUGUCAGAGACACAGUGUGACACACGUGCUAUUGAGUCUAAGUGUCAUCCCUGUCACAGCGUUAUGUUUGUUGUAGAGCUGCAUGGCGAGACCCAAUCUAAACAAUAAAUAAUAAUAGUAACGUGCGGUUCGGGGAGGGGAGGGGGGAGUGUUGAGGAUGGCCCUGGUGCUGUUUAUAUUUUGAUGCUAAUUCUGCUUUCCCAGGAAGGGCUGACUGGAACCAGGAAUGAGUCUCUUACUCUGGUGACUUCUUGUGAACCAUCCCCAAUGAAUAAAGGAACCAAUCACUGGGCGAGUAGGCGGGACUUCCUGCUUGGAUAGAGGAAGAGAGUAGGCAGGAGUGGGGGAGAGGGGUGCUUUUUGGACGGGGACAGUGAAAGGUCAAGACAUAUAGCUACAAGUGUCUCCCAGUUUAGAUGGUGAAUCCGCCAGGAUUUGCCACUGGAGGAUUUAGACUUAAUAAGGCUUAACAAGAUUAGGAUUCUAGUUGAUGCGCCCAGCGAUUGAGUUACCAUUGAUUCUGAACUAAGUUUGUGUGGUGUUUUCCUUCACGCAGAGGCUCGACUGGGUUUUUUAGAGAAAAGGUACCGCUGCAAAAACGUGGGUUUGCCAAAAGUGCACCACAAAAGGCCGUGAGAGUUUUGAAGUAUGGGACUGGUGUGGCAACGACCCGCCAGUGGGAACUUAGAGAGCUGAGGUGGAGAGAUUUCAGAGCUCUCAGUCAGAGUCUCCACGAGAUGAGAACAGGCCAGCCUGCCUGCUGGUGUCUUGCCCCAGCACGGGGUGGUGCCAUUUUUUAAUAUUUCCUAUCACAAUGGAAGACCUCUAAAUAACCAGCCUGUUACCCAACGCAUUAAUAUUCACAAACAUGGAUGGUAAAAUGGCGUGCAUUUCUGAGCAUUGAUGCCACAUAGGCUGCUGAGUACUGCCGGGUACUGAGCAUCCUCAACUCCAGAUCCUCAUGUGAUCCGGAAGGGGAGGAGCUGCAGAGACUGACCUUUGUGAUAGUGGAACUGAAACAGCUGCCCUCCAACCUCCAUAGUCCUGAAUCCAAAAUCUCUAAAGGGCACCAGGAAGUGGAUGCCACGUUCAUGUCCUCUAAGUGCACAGGGGAGUGGGCGCCACGUUCAUGCCCUCUUAGUGCACAGGGGAGUACGCUGGCUCUGACCCAGAGGGACAGGAAGGGCACUGAAAUGUGGGAGAAUUUUCAGAACAGCCUGUGUAGAAAAAGUUAACUGGCAAAAGUUGCUGGCCACUCUCAGACCAUUGCACAGCAGGACAAAGGGGGUCCAUCUUCCCAUCUCCACACCCAUCCCAAGGGUUGGUACAAAGGUUGAUUUUCCUUCUGUGUAGAAAAAGUUAACUGGCAAAAGUUGCUAGCCACUCUCAGACCAUUGCACAGCAGGACAAAGGGGGUCCAUCUUCCCAUCUCCACACCCAUCCCAAGGGUUGGUACAAAGGUUGAUUUUCCUUCUCUGCAUUCACCCAAAGUUUUAAAACUAGCGGUAGAGAAACACGAUCACCCACAUUACGACUCUGGCCAAGGCUUCAUCAUAUCUUUCCAGUAGUGGGCACUGUGUCAAAGGGGUGCAGGCCCCCCUGAGACUAUUCACCGUGGGCCCUUGAAUUGAGUUUGCUGUCAUCUUCAGUGUACCUAACAAGAAGAGUGUACUUGCCCAGCAUGUGAGGGCCUUGGACCCAAUCCUCAGUUCGCAGAAAAAAUUAAGGGUACGAGGAUGCUGGAGAAACGGCCCAGUCAGUAAAGUGCUUCUGAUGUAAGCCAGAGGGCCGACCUCAGCUCUGACCUCUGGUGUGUGUUUGCAGUCUCAGUGCUGGGAAGGUAGAGUCAGGAGGAUCCCUGAUGCUCACUGAGAGACCCUGACUCAAAAAGUACAGUGGAGACCUGACGUUGACCGUUGGCUUCCACAUGCACCCAUACAUGUGUGCACACAAAAACAAACAUAUACAAAUAUGUCGAAUAAAUAAAUAAAUACAUUUUAAAAGGAGGCUAAGGCCCAGAGAGAUUGCUUCUCCCACAGCUGGAUUCUAACCCAAAUAUCUAGUCCAAAGGCCACACUAUGCCCACCUCUCUGUUACAGUCUGUGGGCUGGCGGGGGGAGGGGGGCACAUGUUUUGAAGGGACACUGAGUAGAGCCCUUCACCCUACCAGAUGUCAUGAACACAUAAACUAUUUUCCCUCCGUGUCUUGUUGUAUAGCUUUUUUUUUUUUUUACACAUUUCUCCUCUGCCCACUUUUAAUAUGCUGGAAUAAGCUAAAAAUACAACAUAUACCAUAUAAAAAUAAUGCUAUUCGCAGGCUUGUCUUUUCGGGCAGAGAAACUUCCCUAUUAGGACAAACCAAAGGAUGCACAUUUUCAGCCGCCAGGGAAAGGACGCUAUAGAAGGCAGCAGACAAAAUUACCACAGCUUGCAGAGCGAGACAGUCAUAGAGCUAUCCCGCUCACAGGCUGAGUGUGAGGGAGGAGGGUGUCAAUGACUGUCACACUGACAAGCAGAAGGGGCCAGCCUGGAUCUGCCUGUGAAACAGAGCAGGACAUCACACCCAGGCCCUCGUGACCCAAGGGCUUCAUAGCCAUAGAGGCUCUGAGCCAAGCGUGCCCUUCCAGUGAGAGGUCAGACAUUUAUGUCGGCCGUGAUUGCCAGCCUAAUGUCGGUAGAGUUAAACUCGUUUAAACCAGUUUGACCGAUGCAGCUCACCAGAGUGCAAGGCUGGCAAGGCUGGCAAAGCUGGAAGCGUUGGCCAGAAAAAAAUGCAAAAUAGAUGAUCUUAAUGCCACAGUGGCCACUGUCUUCCUGCGUUUGCCUCUUGGCUCUUCUGUUCCUCCCUUCUCUUUUCCCUUUCACCAUCCUGCCCUUCUCUUCCCUCCUCCCCCUCUUCUUUCCUUUUCUAACUGUAUUGCGACUCUGCUGUCGGCCAUGGCUGGAGUGUGUCCCCAGAGUUCCCAAGUCCUCAGUGUGGCAAUGCUGUACCUUUUAGGGCUGGGGAGUGUGUCAUGUGAUCAUGUAUUAUGUCACUGAGGGUGUGGGAGAGAUGCUCUUUCAGGGAUGGAUCGUUUGAGAGUGGGUUGUUGUAAAACAGCAAACCCCACCUCAGUCUCCUCUCACAUGCUCCCGGCAGGACGCCAUCCUCCUGUUAUGACACCACGGCCAAGGGGACCCUUUACCAGAGCCACUGCUGUGCUUCUGUGUCUCCAGAACUCCUUUCUUUAUACGCCCAGCCUGGUGUGUUUUGUAAUAGCAACAGAAAACAGGCAAAUGCGGAGUCUACGGUGACAUCUGUUUGGACCUGUUUCAGUAUUAAAACCCUUGAUAAUAAAAACUCCUGACCUUAGAACAGCGUAUGGGCAUCAUACCUGAUCUCAGACGUUCCAAGACAGCAGUGAAGGUUUGUGUCUUAAGGAACAGCACAGGACAGGUGGGUCCCCGGGCCCUGCCACCCACUGGCUGCAUAGGCUUAAGUGUCUCCCAACCAAAUCUGAAUGUUCUGUUUCAUAUAGGAAAACUGGUGCAGGACCUGUCCUAAUGGGAGUGCCAUCUCGUCUAAAGAGAACAGGAAGUGCCCAGGACAGAGCCCUAGACUCCUAACAGACUAACAGCUAUGAAACUGCUUGUUUAAAAAAGCUGUGUGUGUAUGCAUGCAUGUGUUUCUGUAUAUAUGGAUUAUACUUGUGUGUAGGGGUAUGUGUGUGUUCGUGUGAAUGUAUAUUGUACUUGUAUAUACAUGUGUUUGUGUACAUAUGUGUGUACUUGUCAAUGUAUGUGAAUUGUACUUGUGUGGUACAUGUGUGCAUAUGUAGGUAUGCUUUUGAGUAUGUCUGUUGUACUUCUGUGUAUAUGUGUGUGCAGAUACAUGGGAAACAUGUGUGUGUGUGUGCAUGUGUGUAUGUGUACAAGUAUGCACAUGCAUGUAGAGGCCAGAGGACUUCAGACGUCAUCUUUAGGAACACCUUUGUGAUAGGAACAUCCUUUGUGACAGGGUCUCUCUUUGGCCUGGAGCUCGCCUAUUAGGCUAGGCUAGCUGGUCGGUAGCCCUCAGGAUCUACCUGUGACUGCCCUGCUCAGCGCAGGAAUUACCAUCGUGAAUAAUCAUGAACCAUCAUGCCCAGCAUUUCUUCAGGGGUUCCAUGAGCUCAGGGCCCUCUGCUUGUGGGGGAGGCACUUUACUGUCUGUCUCUCCCUCCGACCCGCACCAACCUGAAGUUGCUCACUCCAGAGAUCACAGGCUUGUCUCCACAAAGGCUGUCAGCCACUAACAAUCAAUCCCCUGCCUAGGACACAGAUCCCUUCAUGCUGACGGGACAAGCGCUCAGGUUCAGUGCCCAGGACUUGAAGAGAUGACUCUAGUCCCAGGCCCAGGGGCAAGCCCUCUUUUCUUUGACACCUUGAUUUAAAACAAUAGAAAGGCCACGUUUCUGGGCUCUCUGCCAGCAGGCAAGACAGACUGUUUUCCUGCAGGGCCCUCAAUUCUCAUGGCAGAACACAGAACUUGGGAACAAAACGCAAAGCUAGACGCCAUCUGCUUGGCUUCCGGACAGUGCAAUUAGCUGAGAAGUGCCUUUACAUCUUCGUAGGACUGCAUUAAGUCGGGAUUAAUUAAUUGCCGUGCUAAUGGGAAGCACCUUUAGCGCCGCAAUGACAUAAUCGCAUGCUAUUAGGAGCACAGAAAGGAGCCCUUUAUAAUUAAUGACGUCUUCAUUUCCUGAAACGUGUAAUCCUUGUGUCCUCAAUUCCAAAGAGGUUUGCAGACAGAAGGCACUAAAUAUAGAUCCGGAACUAAUAUUUAAAUCACUUUAAGAUUCACCUUUCCAUAAGAGUAAUGAACCCAGAACAAAAGUUCCCUUGGGUUUCUAGGAUUCUAAACCUUUUCGUCCAUCAGGUUAAGUAGUCGGCAAGCAUGGGUUCAAACAGAAAUGGCCAAUAAUUACCGGCCUGAUAGAUUUAUCCUAAAUAGAACAAGUUUUGCCCUACCAAGCAUACAAACUAAUUUGCAAGACAUAAAUUAAACUCAUUCCAAUUGUCCUUGCUGUGAUUCACCUUAAAAAGUACUCUAGGAGCCGGAGAGGCAGCUUAAUGGUUAAGAGCACCGGCUGCUCCUCCAGAAGAGCCAGUUCAAUUCCCAGCUCCCUCAUGGCAGCUCACAACUGCUGUGAUUCCAGUCUUAGGGGGAAUCCAACGCCCUCUUCUGGCCUCCAUGGGUACUGCAUGCAAGUUAUGUAUAACGCAUGCAAGUAAAACAUCCAUUAUACAUAAAACAAGUAUACUUUUUCUUUAGUUAUAGCACUCUGUGCCUCACUCCCAUGAUGUAAAAAUGAGACUGGCUUUGUUUCUAAUUGGAGGAGUUACUAAUAAGCCAAAUGUCACAGGCCAAGCACAGAUCCAAGUACUUAGCGCGCAGUAGUUCAGUGAAUCCUCAUAGAGAUCCCGACUGUGGAAUUGCUAUGUCUCCCAUUUCACAAACAGAGAUGCUGAAGUGCCCCGUGGUAGUAAUAUUGUGUCCAGGGUUGGAAGUGUAACUCAGUGUUGGAAAACUUGCCUAGCACGUACAAGGCCCCAGGACACAAUCCCCAGCACACAAGUGGUAAAAUACAGCAACCCCCAAACUACUAUUUCCCUGGAAAGGACCUUCUGACCGAACUCCUGACCAGAAAGAACAGACAGACUUUGAAGACUGUAAUUCAUUUUUGUUUGUCUUGUUUUUUGUUUUUUUUUUCAAGCUUUUAGGGUUUCCUCAAUGUAACCCUGGCCAUCCUGGAACUCACUCUGUAGACCAGGCUGGCCUCGAAUUCAGAGAUCCACCUGCCUCUGCCUCCCGAGUGCUGGGAUUAAAGGUGUGCUCCACCAUGCCCAGCUCAGACUGUAAUUCUUAUUGUCCCCAGAGCCAGUUGACAUCUUACCCCUGCUGCCAGCCUGAUGCCAGUAGAUGCCCGGUCUUCAGCAAAUUACAUAUGAAAGCGGGGGAGGGUACAAAAACUGAGCCUCAGGAACAUACCAAGGGUUCCCAUGGGAUGGGAAAACCUCAGCAAUUUGUUUUUAUCUCAACAUUAAAGGGUCUCUACGUGCCGAGAACUUGGAAAUUAGGCACCCACAGAUCCUCCGGUCUCUGCUUGUCUGGCUCUGGGAUACCAAGCAUAUUCCACCACACCAUGCCUUUGCACUGGGCUCCAGAGAUUAACUUCAGAUCCUGUGCCUGUAGGGCAAGCUCUUCACUAACUGAGCUGCCUCCUAGUCUCCGCUUCUGUUUUCUGAUUGGAUGCACAGCCCAGGCUCCUCCUCAGUGAACUAAGAGAGGUGAGCCCUCCCUGCCCCCCCACCACCACCCCCCACUCCCAUGAUGCCAAGGCUUGCUUUACC